Molecule: long non-coding RNA, 640 nt
Organism: Cygnus olor (mute swan)
Lineage: Eukaryota; Metazoa; Chordata; Aves; Anseriformes; Anatidae
Exons: 3
Source: RefSeq, a predicted model, not a curated record
UCAACCUGAUCAUUAGAUGAAUUUGCUGCUUCCACACUUUAUUCUAAUUGUGUUUGUUUAUACACGUUACACUUUUGCCCAGUUAUUUAGUUCUAAUUAAUAAAUUGGAAACAAGCAUGGUAUGAAUGUCUGCUUCCCAAGACCACCUUCCAGAAGUGGAGGAGCUGCAGGAAGGCAAGCAGCAUUGUGAGACACACGGGCCAUUCUCCAGAGCUGUCCUUGCAGAGCCCCAAACCCAUGAUCCUGACUGGAAAACCCACCAUUCACUGAAGGCCUGAACCUGCUUCCCUGGUGAAUCUGGGAACAGCCUCUUAUAGUACAGAGCCACUAUUUAUUCUGCCCUUGUGCUUCCCUUGAGUAUAAGUUAUGAUAUAUCAGCAUUGUCUUUGAGGUCUACUGAAUCUGUGGAUAUGCAAUACUCUGAAGAGUGGAGACGGAAUGAAGUUGAAAGGAUUCAUGAAUAAAAAUCAGAAACUGGAAAUGCCACUAGAGCAAAGGGAUCCUGAAAUCCAUGUGGAUUAUAUUCCUGGACCAAGGAAGACAACAGGACACCGAGAAAAUUAACCUCAGGCAGAAAAAAUGACAGCAGCAUGCAGAUGCCUGGAGUGGAAUUCAGAGAGAACUACUUGACAAAAAUACA